Molecule: non-coding RNA, 72 nt
Filed under: unclassified sequences
Source: RNAcentral
AAUUUCUUUAUUGAACAGACUGGGUUAAUCUGAGGUCGGGUCGAAAGACAGUGAGCGUAUCACGGGACAAUA